GACGAACGCUGGCGGCGUGCUUAACACAUGCCAGUCGAACGGUGAAGCGCCUUCCUUUUUGGUGGGUGUGGAUGAGUGGCGAACGGGUGAGUAACACGUGAGUAACCUGCCCCCUUCUUCUGGAUAACCGCAUGAAAGUGUGGCUAAUACGGGAUAUUCUGGGUCUGUCGCAUGAUGGGUCUGGGAAAGAUAUUGUUUCGGUGGGGGAUGGGCUCGCGGCCUAUCAGCUUGUUGGUGGGGUGAUGGCCUACCAAGGCGGUGACGGGUAGCCGGCCUGGGAGGGUGGGCGGUCACACUGGGACUGAGACACGGACCAGACUCCUACGGGAGGCAGCAGUGGGGAAUAUUGCACAAUGGGCGCAAGCCUGAUGCAGCGACGCCGCGUGAGGGAUGGAGGCCUUCGGGUUGUGAACCUCUUUCGCCAGUGAAGCAGGCCUGCCUCGUUUGUGGGUGGGUUGACGGUAGCUGGAUAAGAAGCGCCGGCUAACUACGUG
RNAcentral lists this ribosomal RNA (494 nucleotides) under uncultured bacterium. RNAcentral describes it as "partial 16S ribosomal RNA". It matches the Rfam family "Bacterial small subunit ribosomal RNA", at positions 28 to 507 of the family's 1533-position model. The record is from RNAcentral.